This 524-nucleotide ribosomal RNA is filed under the name uncultured bacterium. RNAcentral describes it as "partial 16S ribosomal RNA". It matches the Rfam family "Bacterial small subunit ribosomal RNA", at positions 28 to 523 of the family's 1533-position model. The record is from RNAcentral.
GACGAACGCUGGCGGCGUGCCUAAUACAUGCAAGUCGAACGAAGCUGUUUUAACUGGUGCUUGCACCGACUUAAACAACUGAGUGGCGAACGGGUGAAUAACACGUGGGUAACCUGCCCCAAAGCGGGGGAUAACAUUUGGAAACAGAUGCUAAUACCGCAUAAUCACAGAAACCACAUGGUUUCGGUGUCAAAGAUGGUGUCGGCUAUCACUUUGGGAUGGACCCGCGGCGUAUUAUCUAGUUGGUAAGGUAAUGGCUUACCAAGGCAAUGAUACGUAGCCGAACUGAGAGGUUGAUCGGCCACAUUGGGACUGAGACACGGCCCAAACUCCUACGGGAGGCAGCAGUAGGGAAUCUUCCACAAUGGACGAAAGUCUGAUGGAGCAACGCCGCGUGAGUGAAGAAGGUUUUCGGAUCGUAAAACUCUGUUGUCAGAGAAGAACGUGUGCGAGAGUAACUGUUCGUGCAGUGACGGUAUCUGGCCAGAAAGCCACGGCUAACUACGUGCCAGCCGCCGCCGUAA